This 462-nucleotide ribosomal RNA is filed under the name uncultured bacterium. Its description in RNAcentral is "partial 16S ribosomal RNA". It matches the Rfam family "Bacterial small subunit ribosomal RNA", at positions 28 to 507 of the family's 1533-position model. The record is from RNAcentral.
GACGAACGCUGGCGGCGUGCUUAACACAUGCAAGUCGAGCGGAAAGGCCCUUCGGGGUACUCGAGCGGCGAACGGGUGAGUAACACGUGAGUAACCUGCCCCAGACUUUGGGAUAACCCUCGGAAACGGGGGCUAAUACCGGAUACGACACAGCUUCGCAUGGGGUCUGUGUGGAAAGUUUUUCGGUUUGGGAUGGGCUCGCGGCCUAUCAGCUUGUUGGUGGGGUGAUGGCCUACCAAGGCGACGACGGGUAGCCGGCCUGAGAGGGCGACCGGCCACACUGGGACUGAGACACGGCCCAGACUCCUACGGGAGGCAGCAGUGGGGAAUAUUGCACAAUGGGAGGAAGCCUGAUGCAGCGACGCCGCGUGAGGGAUGACGGCCUUCGGGUUGUAAACCUCUUUCAGCAGGGACGAAGCGUAAGUGACGGUACCUGCAGAAGAAGCGCCGGCCAACUACGUG